UGACAGGACUGUUUUGCUGUCGUUUUUGUUCAUUUUGUAGUGUUCUCUUGUUUUUUUAAAUUAAAAUUCUAAUGAUGAACACAUCCUCUGCUGCACCUUGGUUCCCUCUUACAGACAGCCGUUACAGCGGCACCAUGAAGACCAAGGAGCUCUCCAAACAGGUCAAGGACAAAGUUGUGGAGUAGUACAUAUCAAGGUUGGGUUAUAAGACAUAUCCAUAACUUUGAACAUCCCACGGAGCACCAUUAAAUCCAUUGUUAAAAAAUGGAAAGAAUAUGGCACCACAACAAACUUGCCAAGAGCGGGCUGCCUACCAAAACUCACGGACCAGGCAAGGAGGGCAUUAAUCAGAGAGGCAACAAGGAGACCAAAGAUAACCCUGAAGGAGCUGCAAAGCUCUACAGCAGAGAUUGGAGUAUCUGUCUAUAGGACCACUUUAAGCCGUACACUCCACAGAGCUGGGCAUUAUGGAAGUGUCCAGAAAAAAGCCAUUGCUUAAAACCUCUUGGGGCUAGGGGGCAGUAUUUUCACAGCCGGAUGAAAAACGUACCCAAUUUAAACAGGUUACUACUCUGGCCCAGAAAAUAGAAUAUGCAUAUUAUUAGUAGAUUUGGAUAGAAAACACUCUGAAGUUUCUAAAACUGUUUGAAUGGUGUCUGUGAGUAUAACAGAACUCAUAUGGCAGGCAAAAACCUGAGAAAAAUUGAAUGAGGAAGUGGGAGAAAUUAGAAAUGUAGUUUUUCUUUUGAAUCCCUUGAAAAACUACAGUGACAUAGGAUUUACGUUGCACCUCCUAACUCUUCCAUUGGCUGUCAACAAUCUUUAGGAGCUGGUUUCAUCCGUCACCUGUUACCGGGUAGAAAAUUGUGGCUCAGUCAAUCAGUGGCCAGUCUGAGGACAGGUGUCUUGUGACGCGCAUGCACGUGACUUCGCUGUUUGUUAUUAUCCUUCUGGGAUGAAUACCUAUUUCUCGGUUGUUAAAUUAUCGCAAUUUUACAUAAAAAAAUACUCUAAAGGAUUGAUUGUAAACAUCGUUUGACAUGUUUCUACAAACGGUAAUGGAACUUUUGAACAUUUUGUCUAUGGAUUUGUGUCCACGCCAUAUGGCAUUGUAAAGUGUUCUAGAUGGGUCAACAAAACGGAUGUAUUUGGACAUAAAUGAUGUACUUUGCAGAACAAAUGAACAAUUCUUGUGGAAGUGGGUGCCCUUCCGAGUGCAUUCCGCCGAAGAUCAGCAAAGGUAAGAAAAUAUUUACAACAUAUUUUUAGAGAUUUGUCGACACCGUGGUUGUAGGCUAACUGUAUAGCUUAGCGUUGAAGGCUAAGUUCUGUACUCAGAAUAUUGAACAAUGUGCUUUUCCGUAAAGUUAUUUUGAAAUCUGACAAAGUGGUUGCAUAAAGGAGUAGAUUAUCUCUAAUUCUUUAAAUAAUUGUUAUACAUUUUGUCAACGUUUAUGAGUUCUUCUGUAAAUGAAUGUGCCUAUUCACCGGAAGUUAUGGGGAGAAAACAUUUUCUGAACGUCACGCGCCAAUGUAGAAAUUGGGUUUUUGGAUAUAAAUAUGAACUUGAUCGAACAAAAAAAUGCAUGUAUUGUCUAACAUGAUGUCCUAGGAGUGUCAUCUGAUGAAGAUUGUCAAAGGGUAGUGCUUAAUUUUAGCUGUAUAUCUGGUUUUGUGACGGCUAUCCGUGCUUGGAAAAUAGCUUUUUUUUUUUGCUAAUGUGCUAUCCUAAAAUAAUCUAAUGUUUUGCUUUCACCGUAAAGCCUUUUUGAAAUCGGACAAUGUGAUUGGAUUAACGAGUAGAGUAUCUUUAAUAUGCCGUAUAAUACUUGAAUUUUAAUUUUGAGAUUAUAAUUAUUUUAAUUUUGCGCCGUGCGAUCUCACUGGUUGUUGUCCAACCACUCCCGUUAACGGGAUUUUAUCUCGAAGGGGUCCUCAAGAAGUUAAAUAAAAAAUUAAAAAAACACGUUUGGUGUUUGCCUAAAGGCAUGUGGGAGACUCCCCAAACACAUGGAAGAAGGUACUCUGGUCAGAUAAGACUAAAAUUGAGCUUUUUGUUCAUCAAGGAAAACGCUAUGUCUGGCGCAAACCCAACACCUCUCAUCACCCCGAGAAUAUCAUCCCCCACAGUGAAGCAUGGUGGUGGCACAAUCAUGCUGCGGGGAUGUUUUUCAUCGGCAGGGACUGGGAAACUGGUCGGAAUGAUAGAUGGUGCUAAAUGCAGGGAAAUUCUUGAGGGAAACCUGUUUGUCUUCCAGAGGUUUGAGACUGGGACGGAGGUUCACCUUCCAGCAGGACAAUGGCCCUAAGCAUAUUGCUAAAGCAACACUAGAGUGGUUUAAGGGAAAACAUUUAAAUGUCUUGGAAUGGCCUAGUCAAAGCCCAUACCUCAAUCCAAUUGAGAAUCUGUGGUAUGACUUAAAAUUGCUGUACAUCAGCAGAACACAUCCAACUUGAAGGAGCUGGAGCAGUUUUGCCUUGAAGAAUGGGCAAAAAUCCCAGUGGCUAGAUGUGCCAAGCAUAUAGAGACCCCAAGAGACUUGCAGCUGUAAUUGCUGCAAAAGGUGGCUCUACAAAGUAUUGACUUUCGGGGGUGAAUAGUUAUGCACGCUCAAGUUUUCUGUUUUAUUUCUUGUUUCACAAUAAAACAUAUUUUGCAUCUUCAAAGUGGUAGGCAUGUUGUGUAAAUGAAAUGAUACAACCCCCCCCCAAAAAAAAUCCAUUUUAAUUCCAGGUUGUAAGGCAAUAAAAUAGGGAAAAUGCCAAGGGGGGUGAAUACUUUCGCAAGCCACUGUAAAUGGCCAAAGUUCAGCACUGUUGCUACUCUCCCUAGGAGUGGCCGUCCUGCAAUGAUGCCUGCAAGAGCACAGCGCAGAAUGCUCAAUGAGGUUAAGAAAAAUCCUAGUGUCAGCUAAAUACCUACAGAAAUCUCUGGAACAUGCUAACAACUCUGUUGACGAGUCUACGAUACGUGAAACACUAAACUAAAAUGGUGUUCAUGUGAGGACACCACGGAAGAAGCCACUGCUGUAAAAAAAACAACAACAUUGCAGCACGUCUGAAGUCAGCAAAAGAGCACUUGGAUGUUCCACAGUGCAACUGGCUAAAUAUUCGGUGAACAGAUAACUACAGUUGAGUUGUUUGGAAAGAACAUACAACACUAUGUGUGGAGAAAAAAAGGCACACCAACAUCAAACCUCAUCCCAACUGUAAAGUAUGGUGGAGGGAGCAUCAUGGUUUGGGGCUGCCUCAGGGCCUGGACAGCUUGCUAUCAUCGACUGAAAAAUGAAUUCCCAAGUUUAUUAACUUCUUUGGGCUAGGUGGCAGUAUUUUCACGGCCGGAUAAAAAACGUACCCGAUUUUAAUCUGAUUACUACUCCUGCCCAGAAACUAGAAUAUGCAUAUAAUUAGUAGAUUUGGAUAUAAAACACUCUAAAGUUUCUAAAACUGUUUGAAUGGUGUCUGUGAGUAUAACAGAACUCAUAUGGCAGGCCAAAACCUGAGACGAUUCCAUACAGGAAGUGCCCUGUCUGACAAUUUGUUGUCCUUCUGUUGCAUCUCUAUCGAAAAUACAGCAUCUGUGCUGUAACGUGACAUUUUUUAAGGCUUCCAUUGGCUCUCUAAAGCCGCCAGAAAGUGGAAUGGGGUGUCUGCAGUCUCUGGGCAAAGAACAGCAGGAGAAUUUGUGAGUGGUCAGCCUGGGGACAGUGACACUGGAGAUGCGCGGUCACGAGACUACUCCAUGUUUUUCUUUCUCUCUUUGAAUGAAUACAAUGUUGCCCGGUUGGAAUAUUAUCGCUAUUUUAUGAGAAAAAUAGCAUAAAAAUUGAUUUUAAACAGCGUUUGGCAUGCUUCUAAGUACGGUAAUGGAAUAUUUAGAAUUUUUUUGUCACGAAAUGCGCUCGCGCGUCACCCUUCGGAUAGUGACCUGAACGCACGAACAAAAUGGAGCUAUUUGAAUAUAACUAUGGAUUAUUUGGAACCAAAACAACAUUUGUUGUUGAAGUAGAAGUCCUGGGAGUGCAUUCUGACGAAGAACAGCAAAGGUAAUCCAAUUUUUCUAAUAGUAAUUCUGAGUUUAGGUUGUCCCAAACUUGGUGGGUGUCAAAAUAGCUAGCCGUGAUGGCCGAGCUAUGUACUCAGAAUAUUGCAAAAUGUGCUUUCGCUGAAAAGCUAUUUUAAAAUCUGACACCGCGAUUGCAUAAAGGAGUUCUGUAUCUAUAAUUCUUAAAAUAAUUAUGUAUUUUGUGAACGUUUAUCGUGAGUAAUUUAGUAAAUUCACCGGAAGUUUGCGGUGGGUAUGCUAGUUCUGAACAUCACAUGCUAAUGUAAAAAGCUGGUUUUUGAUAUAAAUAUGAACUUUAUUGAACAAAACAUGCAUGUAUUGUAUGACAUAAUGUCCUAGGAGUGUCAUCUGAUGAAGAUCAUCAAAGGUUAGUGCUGCAUUUAGCUGUGGUUUGGGUUUAUGUGACAUAUAUGCUUGCUUGGAAAAUGGCUGUGUGAUUAUUUGUCUAUGUACUCUCCUAACAUAAUCUAAUGUUUUGCUUUCGCUGUAAAGCCUUUUUGAAAUCGGACAAUGUGAUUAGAUUAACGAGAGUCUUGUCUUUAAAAUGGUGUAAAAUAGUUGAUUGUUUGAGAAAAUUGAAUUGUGGUAUUUUAGUUGGUUUUGUAUUUCGCACCGUGCGAUGCCAUUGGCUGUUGGCUAGGGGUUCCGCAGGCGGAACGGGGUUCCGCUAGCGGAACGUCUGUCCUCAACAGGUUAACUUCCUGACUGAUGUCUUGAGAUGUUGCUUCAAUAUAUCCACAUAAUUUUCUUGCCUCAUGAUGCCGUCUAUUUUGUGAAGUGCACCAAUCCCUCCUGCAGCAAAGCACCCCCACAACAUGAUGCUGCCACCCCCGUGCUUAACGGUUGGGAUGGUGUUCUUCGUCUUGCAAGCGUCCUCCUUUUUCCUCCAAACAUAACAAUGGUCAUUAUGGCCAAAAAGUUAUAUUUUUGUUUCAUCAGACCAGAGGACAUUUCCCCAAAAAGUACGAUCUUUGUCCCCAUGUACAGUUGCAAACCGUAGUCUGGCUUUUUUAUGGUGGUUUUAGAGCAGUGGCUUCUUCCUUGCUGAGCAGCCUUUCAGGUUAUGUCGAUAUAGGACUUGUUUUACUGUGGAUAUAGAUACUUUUGUACCUGUUUCCUCCAGCAUCUUCACAAGGUCCUUUUCUGUUGUUCUGGGAUUGAUUUCACUUUACGCAUCAAAGUACGUUCAUCUCUAGGAGACAGAAUGCGUCUCCUUCCUGAGUGGUAUGCCGACUGCCUGGUUCCAUGGUGUUUAUACCUGCAUACUAUUCUUUGCACAGAUGACCGUGGUACCUUCAGGUGUUUGGAAAUUGCUCCCAGGGAUGAUCCAGACUUGUGGAGGUCUACAAUUAUUUUCUGAGGUCUUGGCUGAUUUCUUUAGAUUUUCCCAUGAUGUCAAGCAAAGAGGCACUGAGUUUGAAGCUGACUGUGCCAUUUGGAAGAGUCUUAGCUCGACCAAGAUGGAUGUACAGAAUCUAUAGAGGAAGGGAUGAGAGGAGAGAAGGAGAAAUAAAAUACUGUUAGCAGUCAGGGAUAAAGCAACAAAGGGAGAGCAGUUGUCACGAAUCCCACCGAAGGUGGCUCCCCUGCCUGCUCGAGCGGCGCUCGGCGGUCGUCGUCGCCGGCCUACUAUCCACCGCUGAUCCUUUUUUCAUUUUCUGUUUGUAAUGUCUUAUUGGUUGCACCUGUUCCCUAUUGUGUGUCUUGAUUUGUGUUUAUUUAAGCCUGCUUAGCCCGCCCAGGUUUGUGCGGGAUUAUUUUGCUGUCGUUGUAUUUUUUGGAUGUGCUGGCUAUUCGCCUUGUAUUCUCUCUCCGGACUGUGUGCCCGUUGUUCUGGGUUGGUCGUUUGUUCACGCGCCCGUUUGUGUUGGCAUUGACCGUUUUGUGCCAGAAAGAAUAAAGGACAUUAUACCUUACCUCUGCUCUCUGUGCCUGACUCCUACCACCACUCCUAGUGUUCCGUGACAGCAGUCAAUGAAAAUACAGAAAACAGAGAAGGUGUAAGUGAGAAAGAGAGCGAGCACCAGAUGACAUGUGGGAGGCUUAUUUUAUUUUUAAAUUUUGAAUAUUUUAUUUUUGCAUAUUCCAAUUAAGAACAUUCAAAACAAAAGUGAAAAGAUAGACAACAAUGGGAAAAAGUGACAGUAACAGACGAG
Molecule: long non-coding RNA, 6222 nt
Filed under: Salmo salar (Atlantic salmon)
Lineage: Eukaryota; Metazoa; Chordata; Actinopteri; Salmoniformes; Salmonidae
Description: lncRNA (ENSSSAG00000120447.1)
Source: RNAcentral